Molecule: unclassified non-coding RNA, 202 nt
Filed under: Hevea brasiliensis (rubber tree)
Lineage: Eukaryota; Viridiplantae; Streptophyta; Magnoliopsida; Malpighiales; Euphorbiaceae
Source: RNAcentral
GUUUUAAGCCAUAUUUUCAGGCAAUGACUAAUUGAAUAAACCUCACCUGCAAGGAUAACUCCCUACAGGUACAUGCUACUAACAUUUAGCCCUUUAAAAUUGACAUUGAUUACACAUGCAGGUUCUUUGGCCUGAAAGUGGGUGAAAGCCUGUGCCUAUUGUUGACAUAAUUGAAGGGAAUGCAGUGAAAAGAUCAUACCAG